UACAGAGGGUGCAAGCGUUGUCCGGAAUUACUGGGCGUAAAGGGCGCGUAGGCGGCUCGAUAAGUAGGGGGUGAAAUUCCGCGGCUCAACCGCGGGGCGGCCUUCUAGACUGUCGGACUUGAGCACGGUAGAGGCGAAUGGAAUUCCCGGUGUAGCGGUGGAAUGCGUAGAGAUCGGGAAGAACACCAGUGGCGAAGGCGGUUCGCUGGGCCGUUGCUGACGCUGAGGCGCGAUAGCGUGGGGAGCAAACAGG
RNAcentral lists this ribosomal RNA (253 nucleotides) under uncultured bacterium. RNAcentral's name for it is "partial 16S ribosomal RNA". It matches the Rfam family "Bacterial small subunit ribosomal RNA", at positions 524 to 776 of the family's 1533-position model. The record is from RNAcentral.